GAUCCUGGCUCAGGAUGAACGCUAGCUACAGGCUUAACACAUGCAAGUCGAGGGGCAGCAUGAAUCAAGCUUGCUUGAUUCGAUGGCGACCGGCGCACGGGUGCGUAACACGUAUCCAAUCUACCCAUGGCUCAGGGAUAGCCUUUCGAAAGAAAGAUUAAUACCUGAUGGUCUCGUUAUAAGACAUCUUGUGGCGAGUAAAGAUUUAUCGGCGAUGGAUGAGGAUGCGUCCGAUUAGCUGGUUGGCGGGGUAACGGCCCACCAAGGCGACGAUCGGUAGGGGUUCUGAGAGGAAGGUCCCCCACAUUGGAACUGAGACACGGUCCAAACUCCUACGGGAGGCAGCAGUGAGGAAUAUUGGUCAAUGGUCGAAGGACUGAACCAGCCAAGUAGCGUGAGGGAAGACUGCCCUACGGGUUGUAAACCUCUUUUGUAUGGGAAUAAAGUGUCCUACGUGUAGGAUUUUGUAUGUACCUUACGAAUAAGCAUCGGCUAAUUCCGUGCC
RNAcentral lists this ribosomal RNA (505 nucleotides) under uncultured bacterium. RNAcentral's name for it is "bacterial SSU rRNA". It matches the Rfam family "Bacterial small subunit ribosomal RNA", at positions 15 to 509 of the family's 1533-position model. The record is from RNAcentral.